This 555-nucleotide ribosomal RNA is filed under the name uncultured Klebsiella sp. RNAcentral describes it as "bacterial SSU rRNA". It matches the Rfam family "Bacterial small subunit ribosomal RNA", at positions 51 to 596 of the family's 1533-position model. Lineage: Bacteria; Pseudomonadati; Pseudomonadota; Gammaproteobacteria; Enterobacterales; Enterobacteriaceae. The record is from RNAcentral.
ACACAUGCAAGUCGAGCGGUAGCACAGAGAGCUUGCUCUCGGGUGACGAGCGGCGGACGGGUGAGUAAUGUCUGGGAAACUGCCUGAUGGAGGGGGAUAACUACUGGAAACGGUAGCUAAUACCGCAUAACGUCGCAAGACCAAAGAGGGGGACCUUCGGGCCUCUUGCCAUCGGAUGUGCCCAGAUGGGAUUAGCUAGUAGGUGGGGUAAAGGCUCACCUAGGCGACGAUCCCUAGCUGGUCUGAGAGGAUGACCAGCCACACUGGAACUGAGACACGGUCCAGACUCCUACGGGAGGCAGCAGUGGGGAAUAUUGCACAAUGGGCGCAAGCCUGAUGCAGCCAUGCCGCGUGUGUGAAGAAGGCCUUCGGGUUGUAAAGCACUUUCAGCGGGGAGGAAGGCAUUAAGGUUAAUAACCUUAGUGAUUGACGUUACCCGCAGAAGAAGCACCGGCUAACUCCGUGCCAGCAGCCGCGGUAAUACGGAGGGUGCAAGCGUUAAUCGGAAUUACUGGGGCGUAAAGCGCACGCAGGCGGUCUGUCAAGUCGGAUGUG